UACGGGGGGGGCAAGCGUUGUUCGGAAUUACUGGGCGUAAAGGGCUCGUAGGUGGCCAACUAAGUCAGACGUGAAAUCCCUCAGCUUAACUGGGGAACUGCGUCUGAUACUGGAUGGCUUGAGUUUGGGAGAGGGAUGCGGAAUUCCAGGUGUAGCGGUGAAAUGCGUAGAGAUGCGGAGGAACACCGAUGGCGAAGGCAGCCCCCUGGGCUGACACUGACGCUCAGGCACGAAAGCGUGGGGAGCAAACAGG
RNAcentral lists this ribosomal RNA (253 nucleotides) under uncultured bacterium. RNAcentral describes it as "partial 16S ribosomal RNA". It matches the Rfam family "Bacterial small subunit ribosomal RNA", at positions 524 to 776 of the family's 1533-position model. The record is from RNAcentral.